GACGAACGCUGGCGGCGUGCUUAACACAUGCAAGUCGAACGGAAAGGCCCUGCUUUUGUGGGGUGCUCGAGUGGCGAACGGGUGAGUAACACGUGAGUAACCUGCCCUUGACUUUGGGAUAACUUCAGGAAACUGGGGCUAAUACCGGAUAGGAGCUCCUGCUGCUUGUUGGGGGUUGGAAAUUUUCGGCGGUUGGGGAUGGACUCGCGGCUUUUCAGCUUGUUGGUGGGGUAGUGGCUUACCAAGGCUUUGACGGGUAGCCGGCCUGAGAGGGUGACCGGCCACAUUGGGACUGAGAUACGGCCCAGACUCCUACGGGAGGCAGCAGUGGGGAAUAUUGCACAAUGGGCGGAAGCCUGAUGCAGCAACGCCGCGUGCGGGAUGACGGCCUUCGGGUUGUAAACCGCUUUCGCCUGUGACGAAGCGUGAGUGACGGUAAUGGGUAAAGAAGCACCGGCUAACUACGUG
Molecule: ribosomal RNA, 468 nt
Filed under: uncultured bacterium
Lineage: Bacteria
Description: partial 16S ribosomal RNA
Rfam family: Bacterial small subunit ribosomal RNA
Source: RNAcentral